This 483-nucleotide ribosomal RNA is filed under the name uncultured bacterium. RNAcentral's name for it is "partial 16S ribosomal RNA". It matches the Rfam family "Bacterial small subunit ribosomal RNA", at positions 29 to 523 of the family's 1533-position model. The record is from RNAcentral.
AGUGAACGCUGGCGGCGUGCUUAACACAUGCAAGUCGAACGAGAAACGGAUUUAGCUUGCUAAAUUGCAGUCUAAGUGGCGCACGGGUGAGUAAUGUAUAGGUAAUAUGCCUCUUACUAAGGGAUAACAAUUGGAAACGAUUGCUAAUACCUUAUAUACCUUUAAUACGAAAGUAUGCAAGGGAAAGAAUUAUUGGUAAGAGAUUAGCCUGUAUGGUAUCAGCUUGUUGGUGAGGUAAUGGCUCACCAAGGCUAUGACGCCUAACUGGUUUGAGAGGGUGAUUAGUCACACUGGAACUGAGACACGGUCCAGACUCCUACGGGAGGCAGCAGUGGGGAAUAUUGCACAAUGGACGAGAGUCUGAUGCAGCAACGCCGCGUGGAGGAUGACACAUUUCGGUGCGUAAACUCCUUUUAUAUAGGAAGAUAAUGACGGUACUAUAUGAAUAAGCACCGGCUAACUCCGUGCCAGCCGCCGCCGUAA